This 449-nucleotide ribosomal RNA is filed under the name uncultured bacterium. RNAcentral's name for it is "partial 16S ribosomal RNA". It matches the Rfam family "Bacterial small subunit ribosomal RNA", at positions 29 to 523 of the family's 1533-position model. The record is from RNAcentral.
AACGAACGCUGGCGGCAUGCCUAACACAUGCAAGUCGAACGAAGGCUUCGGCCUUAGUGGCGCACGGGUGCGUAACGCGUGGGAAUCUGCCCUUGGGUUCGGAAUAACAGUGAGAAAUUACUGCUAAUACCGGAUGAUGACUUCGGUCCAAAGAUUUAUCGCCCAAGGAUGAGCCCGCGUUGGAUUAGCUAGUUGGUGAGGUAAAGGCUCACCAAGGCGACGAUCCAUAGCUGGUCUGAGAGGAUGAUCAGCCACACUGGGACUGAGACACGGCCCAGACUCCUACGGGAGGCAGCAGUGGGGAAUAUUGGACAAUGGGCGAAAGCCUGAUCCAGCAAUGCCGCGUGAGUGAUGAAGGCCUUAGGGUUGUAAAGCUCUUUUACCCGGGAUGAUAAUGACAGUACCGGGAGAAUAAGCUCUGGCUAACUCCGUGCCAGCAGCCGCGGUAA